CAGAGAUAUUGAUGUUUCUUAGAUCACAGCUUCAAAACUAAGAUAUAUAACAACAGAGAUCUCACAAAACACAAAGUUCAGAACCCUUGAAGCAACCAGUCUAUUCAUCUCAAGCAUCUUCCCUGUCCCAGAGUUCUUUCUGCUCAUCCUCCAGCACCGGCUCCCCUCCUACUAUGAACUCUGUUGACAGUUUCAGAAUUCCAUGGAAAAUGUUUCCUGAGGAAUUAAUGCAGGCCCUUGAGAGACAGAAAAGGCCAAGUCAAGCCAAGAAAAGGCCCAAGGACUGUUGUCAAGAAAUGGGAAAUAAUCAACCUGCUCAUCCUCCGCGUCGGUUCUCACCGGAACUCAAGAGGCCUUGGAGACCAGUAGCAUGGAGGUAAGAAUCUAUCUUUCUGUGCAUUCUUUAAAUAUAAAUUUAUCACAACUUGAACACCCCAUUUGACAAAUUCAUUUGAUUCAAUGCACUUGAUUACUUGGUCCACUAUCAUGUAAAAUAUAUUGCAUUGUUGCGUUUACAUUCAGUAUAAUAGUCACUAGCUCACUUCAAGUCAGGUGUAUGAAAAUACUACUAUUCUUUGUUCCUCUUAAUUAAAAAAAAAGUGCAAUGCUUGGGUUAAUAUAACUCAUUAUUUGUCUUGUUAAAUUCAAGAAAAAAAUAAGAGGGGCCA
Ictalurus punctatus (channel catfish) is the source of this 668-nucleotide long non-coding RNA. RefSeq lists it as uncharacterized. The record is from RefSeq and is a predicted model, not a curated record. The transcript has 4 exons. NCBI's taxonomy places the organism in Eukaryota, Metazoa, Chordata, Actinopteri, Siluriformes, Ictaluridae.